CGAAAACGAAUUCUCUCUUGAGUGGAUCCUGAGUACGACGGAGCACGUGAAAUUCCGUCGGAAUCUGGGAGGACCAUCUCCUAAGGCUAAAUACUCUCUAGUGACCGAUAGUGAACCAGUACCGUGAGGGAAAGGUGAAAAGUACCCCGGAAGGGGAGUGAAAGAGAACUUGAAACCGUGUGCUUACAAGUAGUCAGAGCCCGUUAAUGGGUGAUGGCGUGCCUUUUGUAGAAUGAACCGGCGAGUUACGAUCUGAUGCAAGGUUAAGCAGAAAAUGUGGAGCCGUAGCGAAAGCGAGUCUGAAUAGGGCGAAUGAGUAUUUGGUCGUAGACCCGAAACCAGGUGAUCUACCCUUGGUCAGGUUGAAGUUCAGGUAACACUGAAUGGAGGACCGAACCGACUUACGUUGAAAAGUGAGCGGAUGAACUGAGGGUAGCGGAGAAAUUCCAAUCGAACUUGGAGAUAGCUGGUUCUCUCCGAAAUAGCUUUAGGGCUAGCCUCAAGUGAUGAUUAUUGGAGGUAGAGCACUGUUUGGACGAGGGGCCCCUCUCGGGUUACCGAAUUCAGACAAACUCCGAAUGCCAAAUAAUUUAACUUGGGAGUCAGAAUGUGGGUGAUAAGGUCCAUAUUCGAAAGGGAAACAGCCCAGACCACCAGCUAAGGUCCCAAAAUAUAUGUUAAGUGGAAAAGGAUGUGGCGUUGCCCAGACAACUAGGAUGUUGGCUUAGAAGCAGCCA
Molecule: ribosomal RNA, 737 nt
Filed under: Staphylococcus pseudintermedius
Lineage: Bacteria; Bacillati; Bacillota; Bacilli; Caryophanales; Staphylococcaceae
Description: partial 23S ribosomal RNA
Rfam family: Bacterial large subunit ribosomal RNA
Source: RNAcentral